Molecule: long non-coding RNA, 206 nt
Organism: Trifolium pratense (red clover)
Lineage: Eukaryota; Viridiplantae; Streptophyta; Magnoliopsida; Fabales; Fabaceae
Exons: 3
Source: RefSeq, a predicted model, not a curated record
CAAUUACUAUUAACCAAGCUACAAAGGAACCAAUCCCGGACCAGUUUCAAGAAAACCAACUAGUCCACGAAAAACCAGAGACAACUCCUGUAAAAGAUAUGGAAUAUGUGGGCAAUUUUGAAGAAGGAAUUUUAAGGAGCUGCACAAAAACACAUGGUCUUAAGAAUUCUGAAAGUCCGAAUUUACACAAUAAAUUCAAGGUUUUU